This 425-nucleotide long non-coding RNA is filed under the name Elaeis guineensis (African oil palm). RNAcentral's name for it is "long non-coding RNA (EGUI_LNC046271)". The record is from RNAcentral. Lineage: Eukaryota; Viridiplantae; Streptophyta; Magnoliopsida; Arecales; Arecaceae.
UUAUCUGGCCAAUUUAGAAGAUUAUGUUUUGAAUGUGGUUGGCGGUUUGAUUUAACCUAUGCCAAUUAGAUCAGUCAUUUGAUGACUGAUUAGAUGAGACCUAAACUAAAUCUCUCCAUGAAUAUUAAGUCUAGAGAUCUUUCACCGUUGUAGAUAUGCGAGUGUGUUACUGGUGUUGAUAGUUUUCGACUAGUCACAGUGGUUCAGUUGCACCAGAAACAUGCAACCACUCUAUUAGCAAAGAGUUGCUCCAGGAUAAAGAUAGGGUUGGACCCAAUAACUAUUAGGUCAGGACUCAAUGACUGCUGUGCACCUGCUAGUGAAUGAUGGGUCGGGCUUAACUAAGAAGUGUGGUCAAUAAUUGUCAGAUAAGCCCACAUAACUUAAAGAUCAAGUAACUGCAACAUGCUUAGAAAAGCAUCUAG